Long non-coding RNA from Balaenoptera acutorostrata (minke whale), 1411 nucleotides. RefSeq lists it as uncharacterized. NCBI's taxonomy places the organism in Eukaryota, Metazoa, Chordata, Mammalia, Artiodactyla, Balaenopteridae. The record is from RefSeq and is a predicted model, not a curated record. The transcript is spliced from 7 exons.
GGCGGCGGGGGAGGAGGAGGAGUCAGCAGUCUCGGCGGCUCCAUUCACACCGCAGCCCUAGCAGAUUAGGCAGAGCGCGCGACUCCUUGGGGGCGUCCUGGCAGUGGGGGUGGGAGGCGGGCCCGAGGGAGCGUCCCUCUCGGAGACACCCUCCUCUCCUACCCGCCACGCGCUCUCCGCAGGCCUGUGGGACACAAUCCUCCCCCCACCUCCCCUUCUCGGCCUUCGCGAGUGUGGGCGCCUUGGGGUACUGGCGAGCCUCUCCAGGACUCACUCAAGCGCUACGAGGAAAGGCGAGCCGAAAGCCCGGGAUUUCCACUUCUAAGUGAAAAACGUAACAAUAACGGUGCCUAUUCAAGUUGCAAGAACUAGAUAAGAGGGAGAGCUCCUGAAAGACCUGGUAUUGCUCCAGACGCAACUGCUACAGCUGGGAGAAGAGAGGCGUUCUCCCCAUGGAAGCUAUGUCAAGAUCAUAAUGAAUAUGGAUUACCACUCUGGAGAAUUCAACUGAUGAAGAACAGGGGUUGGCAAUCUUCCCUUUGGUGUAUUUUUGGUAAAUUGCUGACCCUGAUGUAGAAGGACUGAUGUUCUUCCAAUAGUCAAAGCUCCAUCAGCCUGAAUCCCUGAGUAAGAAUCACACAGAGCGGAGGCCCUGCUGACCUGGGAUGAAUGUGUAGCAUAAAUGGGAAAUAAACCUUUGUUUUUCUAAGCCACUGGAGGUUGUUUGUUGCUGCAGCAUAAGGAAGAAAGGGUGAAAGAGAAGCUUCCCAUGCCUGGUUUAUGAACGUGGCCUUGAAAAUGUCCACAGAACUAUUGUUGUCUUGUUGAGUCUGCAGCCAGGAAGGCAGAAAUCACUGCAGCAAAGCAGGUGUGAACGUCCCCCUACUUCAGAGGCAGCUCUCUUUGAAGCUGGAAAAUCAAGGACGCUGGUACCUUCAAGGAAACAAGGAUAUAAUUAUCACAACACCCAACUGGCCGGUGACCUUCCAUUCCUCAGGCCUGCCCUACUCCCUUCACUGGCAGCAGCCCAGGUCCUCACAGACUGAGCUCUGUCCCAGAUCGCUCAGCCAGAGGAACAGCCCACUCCCUCACCCUUUGAAAGUGUUCUUAAUCUCUUUCUACUGCGCUGCUCUUGCUGACAUAAAUCCGCCAGCCCAGGGGGCCUCUGAGCCCCCCACAGAGGGAGGCCCUUCAGGCCAAGCGGAGUCUGAGCAGCGAAGGCGUAGAAUUUAUGCUUCCUCUCACCUGUGCCGUCUGUCUGUGGCCUCUACUCCAGGCUGGUUUUGAAGGUUUGACCAGAACCUCCCAGCUCCUUGCCAAGUCUGCCAUCAUCACCUCGGUCACAGAAGCAGACUUCUCAAGGCCACUGGAAGCUAAUAACAGGGACUCUCAACUUCAUUAUUAUAUUUGA